This 492-nucleotide ribosomal RNA is filed under the name uncultured bacterium. Its description in RNAcentral is "partial 16S ribosomal RNA". It matches the Rfam family "Bacterial small subunit ribosomal RNA", at positions 29 to 507 of the family's 1533-position model. The record is from RNAcentral.
AGUGAACGCUGGCGGUAGGCCUAACACAUGCAAGUCGAACGGCAGCACAGUAAGAGCUUGCUCUUACGGGUGGCGAGUGGCGGACGGGUGAGGAAUACAUCGGAAUCUACUUUUUCGUGGGGGAUAACGCAGGGAAACUUACGCUAAUAACGCAUACGACCUACGGGUGAAAGCAGGGGAUCUUCGGACCUUGCGCGAUUGAAUGAGCCGAUGUCGGAUUAGCUAGUUAGCGGGGUAGAGGCCCACCAAGGCGACGAUCCGUAGCUGGUCUGAGAGGAUGAUCAGCCACACUGGAACUGAGACACGGUCCAGACUCCGACGGGAGGCAGCAGUGGGGAAUAUUAGACAAUGGGCGCAAGCCUGAUCCAGCCAUACCGCGUGGGUGAAGAAGGCCUUCGGGUUGUAAAGCCCUUUUGUUGGGAAAGAAAAGCAGCAGGUUAAUACCCCGCUGUUCUGACGGUACCCAAAGAAUAAGCACCGGCUAACUUCGUG